GCCCGGAUAGUUUAGUGGCAAAACGUUCCCUUGGUAAGGGAAUGAGCGGGGGUUCGAUUCCCCCUCCGGGCU
Non-coding RNA from Candidatus Gottesmanbacteria bacterium, 72 nucleotides. The record is from Rfam. NCBI's taxonomy places the organism in Bacteria, Candidatus Gottesmaniibacteriota.